ACCUGUCAAUCCUGUUCGUAGCUUCAUUGUUUACAUGCUGAAACCCGUCGGAUCGAUACCGUUUGCACGCGCACGAAUACGAAUACGAAUGCAUCAGACUGAUGAGCUUCUAACGAUGCGUAAAGGUAUGCGUACACGUGUCUGAUUCGCCAUAGGACAUAUUUAAUAAGCGGCAAACGCGUUGCGCGUGCCGAAGAAGAGAAGGAGCUAGAGAAAAGGGAGGUGUAUGUGUGCGUCGUAUCGUUGUAUGUGUCGUAUGUGAGCGGGAAAGAAGCGACGCCGCGGCCGGCACGGCGCGCUGGCGAUGGAUCACUCCUAGUCACUUCCUUAACUUUUGUUCCGACGACGCGAUAGAACCUCGAGGAUAUAUUCCCGCGCCAACUUGGGACAAUUUAUGGGACACAACGUCACCAGCUGGGAGAUGAUACGUACGCGGGAGGAAAAGUCGAAUUUCGACAUUUUCGACGGUACGGACGGCACCGAGGUUCAGCAUACGAUUAUGAACAACAUGGUAGACGCCAGGGCCUGUUACAAGCCUAGCGGCAAAUCGUGGUUCCGCGGCGUUCGAAGCAGCAAGUUUCGACACGUUUACGGCGUGCCAGCCAAGAGGGAGAAAUGUUACGACAACAUCAAGAUCACAAAAAACGCCCACGAUUCGCAAUUCUGCGCCGUAAAUCCCAAGUUCCUGGCCGUCGUGACGGAGGUUGCGGGCGGUGGAGCGUUUCUUGUGUUAUCAUUGGAUCGCACCGGACGACUUGACUUCAACGCCAGCCGAGUAACUGGACAUACCGGUCCCGUUUUGGACAUCAAAUGGAAUCCAUUCAACGACAAUAUCAUCGCGUCCUGUUCCGAUGAUUGCACUAUAAAAUUGUGGCAUGUACCUGAUGGCGGAUUGUCAAGGAAUUUGACCGAAUGGCUGGUGGAGUUGCAAGGACACAAACGACGUGUCGCUUAUAUCGAGUGGCAUCCGGUAGCAGAGAAUGUGCUUUUUAGCGCCGGCUUUGAUCAUCUUGUUAUCGUGUGGGACGUGAACAGAUGCGAAGCAGUUAGCGUCAUCGAUAGACAUCCUGAUGUGAUUUAUAGCAUGUCUUUAAAUCGUGACGGCAGCUUAUUGGCGACCACUUGCAAGGACAAGAAAUUACGCGUUUUUGAACCAAGGUCCGGUAUCGUAGUUUCGGAAGGAGUAUGUCACGCUGGCACGAAAGCUAGCAAGGUAGUAUUUCUUGGCAGUUCCGGACGUCUUUUGACUACUGGAUUUAGCAGACAUUCGGAUCGACAAUAUGCGAUAUGGAGUCAACAUGAUUUAACUGUUCCACUGACGUGUGAGACGAUAGAUUCAUCGAGCGGAGUGGUUUUUCCAUUUUACGAUAAUGAUACCAACAUGGUGUUUUUGGCCGGAAAGGGUGAUGGUAAUAUUCGAUAUUAUGAAGUGGUUAAUGAAGCACCUUGGGUGCAUUAUCUCAGUCAAUUUAUAUCGGGAAAUCCUCAGAGAGGAUUGGGAAUAAUGCCGAAAAGAGGCAUUAAUACCUCUUUAUGCGAAGUAUUCAGAUUUUAUAAGUUACACGCGACUCGUGGAAUGUGUGAGCCGAUCUCGAUGAUAGUACCACGGAAGAGUGAUCAAUUUCAAGAAGAUCUAUAUCCUGAUACAAUUGGAACGUGUCCCGCAUUAUCAGCUAGAGACUGGACCAGCGGCAUGAACAGCCCACCAGUUUUAAUCUCUCUUAAAACAGGCGGGAGUAUCUCUACGCAUAAGCCACGAGUAUACAAGCCACCGCAAUUACCUGCGACCACUGAUCUGAAUAAUAAAAAGAAAUUUGCGUUCUUGUCUACGGAAACGAUACCGGAUUACAGACCGGUGGAAUUACACGAUAUGUCGGAAAAGAGCCAAAAAACAUCCAGCAAUCAAAGCACAAAGUUUCAGCAACUUCAGCAGAAGUUUGGAAAUGUCACUAUACAGAAGAAUAUUAUAUCGUCUUCGAUUAAUGACAAUAAAGUUAUGGAGACUGUGGAUGUUCCAAAUAAUGAAGCAGAACUUCGUUUGGCAUUGGCUCGUCAAACUGACGAAUUGAGACUGGUACGACGGCAGCUCGCUAAUAGCCAACUGCGUGUUAAGGAAUUAGAGGACCAAAUACGAAAAUUGCAGCGUCAACAAUAAAGUUUAACUUAAACUCGCUUUGGCAUCUGCUUUGAAUAAGACUCUUACAGCUUUACUACUACACGUGAUUAUCAAUGUCUUGCGCCAUGUCUAACGCCGAGACAUUACCAUGUCUCCAGAUCAAUACUUAAGAAUAUCUACAAUUUUUAUGUAGAAUGAAAUGUCACGUUAAUCACAAGGGAACAGGAGGAACAGUUAGCUGCAUUUGUUACAUAAAAAUUGUACCUGUUUACGCACAUACUUAGAUGCGUAAGUCGGAUAUUAAGAAGUUAAGAGAAACACAAUAGACAAAAUGGCAGCGUAAAGGUAAUUCAUGGUAUUGUCAGUUAAAUGACAUACUUUACUUUUUUUGAAAACGAUAUUAUAUUAUACUACUAGUCUGUUAAUCAAUUGUUUAUUUUUUCUAUUACUGUUUUUGUAUGUUUAUUAGUUACUUAAUUGACGUAUUAUUUAAUAUAUUGCUUUAUCAUUAGAGAUAUUUCAAAAGACAGUAUUUCUUUGCGUAUUACGAUUAUUAUUGCUUCUAUUUGCAUUGUAAAUUUAUCCUUGCAACGCUUAAAAUGAUUUUUGUUGACGAUCUAUUAUACACUCUACAAAACUGCUAUGUCAUAUUAUAUCUAUUAGUAGUAUGGACUAGCGUGUUAAUGUAUUAAGCGUGUUAAUGCAUUUUGCUAUCGCGUAUAUUUUUCAUCACUGCCAUCCACUGCCGUGAUGUCGAUGGCAAUAAGAUCUCCACAUCUAUGAAUGCAGUGAUAUCUAAUGUCACGAUUAACUAAAAAAAAAAAAAAAAAAAAA
Molecule: unclassified non-coding RNA, 2950 nt
Filed under: Acromyrmex echinatior (Panamanian leafcutter ant)
Lineage: Eukaryota; Metazoa; Arthropoda; Insecta; Hymenoptera; Formicidae
Description: coronin-2B-like, transcript variant X2
Source: RNAcentral